AUGACAGUGUGACACCCUGUCUCAAAAAAAAAAGAAUAAGAACACUCACCAUCCCUAUCUUUAUGGACUGCCAGUAAAGGAAGAUGCAAAUAAAUCCAAAAGUAAUCCAUGUAACUAAGUAAAAUACAAAGAAAUAUAAAAUUAAUCACACUACCAAAGAAACAUAAUUUUCCAAUUGAUGUAGGCCUGAACACAUGCAUGUAACUACUCUUUUUUCUGAAAUCUCACUAAAGAAUUCUGAAUGGAAUAGAAAAAACAAUUACAAAGUCUAAACCCUGAAAGACAAAACAGAAUGACAAAGGAGAUGAUAUUAAUGAUAUCUGGAGAGUUGGAUGGCAGAUAGACAACCAGGUCCAGUAAAGGUCAAAACCAAGAAUCUCCUCCCACACCAAUAGAUUCUCAAAACACGGUGCACUUGAUCAGGCUAUCAGAAUUACCUAGAGCAGUGCAUAUUCUGAUGGAGAGAAUUCUCAUCCGAACAAUCCCGAAUUGCAUUUGAAAAUGUUCAAAAUUGUUGUGUGAUAGAUAAAUCCUUCAUUUGUGUUCAUUUGUUAGAAGCCAAUUCAGACAUUCAAAUGUCUUAACAUAUAAACAAACAAACAGACAAAAAAAAACUGAAAAAAGAAUCGCAUUUAAUUUGACCAGAGGACACGUGUUUCUCUUAGCUGUGGAUUUUUUUUUUCACUUUUAUUUUGUUUCCUUUCAGAACAUAAACUUCAUUCUAAUCCUGUUAUUUUGUUCUUAAUAUUUAUCAUCCUCUAAAGAGAUGUUAGAAUGUUUAUGUACAAGCUAGGGAAAUGGUAAAGUAAUAUUAUUCAGUGAGAUUUAUUUAUGAAGCCAGUAAAACCUGCAAAAAGGUUUCCUUUGACCAUUUAAAACUUUACAGCUCUAUUGCAACUUAGUAAAUGUGCAAGAGCUUUGUUGCCCAGUAAAUACAUUUAUGUCACAUAAAGAUCACUGAAAUUUCAAACCAGCCACCUCUCAUUAUUGUUACUAAGGAAAA
This is a long non-coding RNA of Sapajus apella (tufted capuchin), 1003 nucleotides long. RefSeq lists it as uncharacterized. The transcript is spliced from 2 exons. NCBI's taxonomy places the organism in Eukaryota, Metazoa, Chordata, Mammalia, Primates, Cebidae. The record is from RefSeq and is a predicted model, not a curated record.